GCAACUCGCCUACAUGAAGUCGGAAUUGCUAGUAAUCGCGGAUCAGCAUGCCGCGGUGAAUACGUUCCCGGGCCUUGUACACACCGCCCGUCACACCAUGGGAGUCGGUAACACCCGAAGCCUGUAGUCUAACCGCAAGGGGGACGCAGUCGAAGGUGGGAUUGAUGACUGGGGUGAAGUCGUAACAAGGUACC
Molecule: ribosomal RNA, 194 nt
Filed under: uncultured bacterium
Lineage: Bacteria
Description: partial 16S ribosomal RNA
Rfam family: Bacterial small subunit ribosomal RNA
Source: RNAcentral